CUACAGCGGUGUUUGUCAGACCAUGAGACAUCCCAUCUGUGGUGGAAGGUGGCUGAGCUACAGCGGUGUUUGUCAGACCAUGAGACAUACCAUCUGUGGUGGAAGGUGGCUGAGCUACAGCGGUGUUUGUCAGACCAUGAGACAUCCCAUCUGUGGUGGAAGGUGGCUGAGCUACAGCGGUGUUUGUCAGACCAUGAGACAUACCAUCUGUGGUGGAAGGUGGCUGAGCUACAGCGGUGUUUGUCAGACCAUGAGACAUACCAUCUGUGGUGGAAGGUGGCUGAGCUACAGCGGUGUUUGUCAGAUCAAGAGACGAAAAUCGGUUUUCUCACGAAAACGUCUGUAGCAUCUGAAUGGUUUAGCCUAGAAACUAAUAUGAUGAUGUUGUCCAUUUUGCGUAAUGCCGAUGUACCAACGUCUGUCUGUAGCGACCGAACUGUUUGGGCUACAAACGAAUAAAAAGUCAGAUUCUCACAAACACGAUGGUGUUCUCCAUUUUGCUUUACGGCCCCUACAAGUGUCACGGGACUCGUCUGAAGGUAACCCCUACAAGUGUCACGGGACUCGUCUGAAGGUAACCCCUACAAGCGUCACGGGACUCGUCUGAAGGUAACCCCUACAAGUGUCACGGGACUCGUCUGAAGGUAACCCCUACAAGUGUCACGGGACUCGUCUGAAGGUAACCCCUACAAGUGUCACGGGACUCGUCUGAAGGUAACCCCUACAAGUGUCACGGGACUCGUCUGAAGGUAACCCCUACAAGUGUCACGGGACUCGUCUGAAGGUAACCCCUACAAGUGUCACGGGACUCGUCUGAAGGUAACCCCUACAAGUGUCACGGGAC
This is a long non-coding RNA of Oncorhynchus keta (chum salmon), 844 nucleotides long. RefSeq lists it as uncharacterized. The record is from RefSeq and is a predicted model, not a curated record. The transcript is spliced from 4 exons. Lineage: Eukaryota; Metazoa; Chordata; Actinopteri; Salmoniformes; Salmonidae.